Pelobates cultripes (western spadefoot toad) is the source of this 1900-nucleotide non-coding RNA. NCBI's taxonomy places the organism in Eukaryota, Metazoa, Chordata, Amphibia, Anura, Pelobatidae. The record is from the annotation of a GenBank genome assembly.
GUUUCAUUCAUGUGUGUGUCUGUAUCUCAGUAUAGUUAAAUAUAUACAGAUACAUAGAUAACUUUCUGAAGAUGGUUUCAAGAGCUCUAUAAUUCAGAAACUUUUUGCAUUACUUUCGAAAUCUGAGUUCAUAAUAUGCUUUUCUAAAAACUGCUUAAAGAGAGCAGUGCUAAACAACCAAAAUACAUUAAAAUAUAUUAUUUAAAGAAAAAAAAAAGAGCUUGUUUUAAUUUGUUUUCUUGUUAGUAAUACUGCAUCUAGUUGCAAUGUUAUUUGAUCCUGUAGGAUCGCACAUUUAUAAGCUGUUGUGAUACCACCUAAUGGAGCCACUAAAACAUUCUUCAAAGAUAUAACAACUGCAUUCGUGAGUAGCACAAAAGGCUUUCAAAAUCUUCAAAUCUCUUGUGCUCUUACCGCACAUCUCUCAAAAACACUAUCCUACAAUGCUCUUUUCCAAACUAAAAGAUUUAGCUUUAAUUGGUAACUCACAAAUCCUCCAGGUUGCAUUACAAUCAUAUCAACGACACAUUGUAUUAAAAAAAAAAAAUGCCAGUUACAUUUUUCUGAUUUUCUCUUGGUGAUAAUCAUCAGCUAUCGAAGAACAAAAUGUUUUCUCUGAUUUUUCUAUAUUAGUUUUAACGAAACAAUAUGUUUACUGGUAAGUAAAUGUUAUAAUAUUCCCCCAUCGUGUGUACUGUAUAAUUUGUCAAGUAAUUUCUAUGACAUUUUUUAUUUUUUCACCUUCUCCCAUUGUCCUCUGGGCAUUUUUUUAUGUUGUUCUUUUGCUUUGUUACUGUAUUUUUUUUUUGUUUGCUUACCACUCUUGCCAUGACAGCCAGUUGAUGUUGGCUAGCUUUGCAGACAGACAAGCAGUGUACGGAUAACAAAAUGCCCCAAAUCCUACUGCUGCAUAGCCUUUGAAUGUAUUUUUGUUUGUUUACUUUAAUAGAGGCAGUAUGAAGCUGUUUCAAAGCACUGGCAUUCAAUGUACAUUUAAGACAUGUAAUAAAUGCACUGAGCGUCCUAUCGAACAAAAUCCUGUAAAUCCUGAUUUUUUUUUUAGUUUCUUUCAAAAAUGGUUUGGAACAUUUCACACAUAUACUUAAAAUGUGUAAGUGUGUGUAUGUCAGGGGUGAGGGACUGAGGGUUGGGUAUUUGGGAUCAGGGAAUUUGAUGGUUGUAAAAGGCAAAAGUUCUCAGUAGUUAAUAAAAACCUUUAACGCCGAGCUCCAAAGAGAUAAACAAUACAUUGCAGCACUAAGUACAGCAUUGUGUCCAUACCAGUUGAACAACACAAUCUUUGUUUUACUGUAAAAAACGUGACUUUGUAAUAGCUUAUAUCAUUCAUCGUUUCGGGAAUUGCAUAAAAAUUCUUGCAGAGACCAAACCUUUUAACCUUUUUCAAUACUGGAUGGAGAAGCUUAUCUUUCUGGUAAUGAAAAAUCAACCAAUUGAGUGCCAGGGAUCUGCCAUACAUUUUUCAAAGUAAUAUGUUGGGCACACUUCUGGAAUGCAACGGUUUAAAUUGUGGUGUGUUGUUGCAGAGGACUAACCAAUAGCAGUGUUCCCUUAUUGUUGUUUAGUUGAAUUGCUGCACUACUCAUAAAAUAUUCUGGAUAAAUGUUAAGUAUGAUCUGUUAAGAAAUAAAAAAAAUCUUUAAAAAAACAAACAAACAAUAUUUUCUUGCAACCAAAAAUGGAAUGAAGUGGCAAUUUAUACAGGUUUAAAUAUGUUUCUUUUAUGAUUUAAGAUCAAUAUUCAGAGUAAAAACUGAUAUGUACACAUACUCUUGUUUGAACCUUAUAUACAAAACUUGACAAAAGCAUUCUAUUCACAAUACAUGGUAAUGUACCUGUAAAUUAUACAAACUACAUGUAAAUAAAAUAUGAUCUGUUAAAA